This 74-nucleotide transfer RNA is filed under the name bioreactor metagenome. Its description in RNAcentral is "tRNA-Met". It matches the Rfam family "tRNA". Rfam says of the family: Transfer RNA (tRNA) molecules are approximately 80 nucleotides in length. Their secondary structure includes four short double-helical elements and three loops (D, anti-codon, and T loops). The record is from RNAcentral.
AGCGGGAUAGAGCAGAGGUCAGCUCGGGAGACUCAUAACCUCCAGGUCGCAGGUUCGAAUCCUGCUCCCGCUAC